This 459-nucleotide ribosomal RNA is filed under the name uncultured bacterium. RNAcentral's name for it is "partial 16S ribosomal RNA". It matches the Rfam family "Bacterial small subunit ribosomal RNA", at positions 30 to 507 of the family's 1533-position model. The record is from RNAcentral.
AGCGAACGCUGGCGGCAGGCCUAACACAUGCAAGUCGAGCGGAUGAAGUGGGGUUGCUCGCGGAUGCAGGGGCGGACGGGCGAGGAAUGCCUAGCAAUGGUCCUGAAUGUGGGGGAGAAAGUUCGGAUACUGGCGGUAAUGCGCCAUACGAGCUGGGGUAGAAAGUGGAAGGACCACGGUCCGUCUGCUAAAGGAGGUGCCUAGGUCAGAUUAGAUAGAGGGUGGGGUAAAGGCCUACCAAGGGGAGGAGCCUUAACUGGGCUGAGAGGAUGGUCAGACACACUGGGACUGAGACACGGCGCAGACUCCUACGGGAGGCAGCAGUGGGGAAUCUUGCCCAAUGGGGGGAAUCCUGAAGGAGCCAUGCCGCGUGAGUGAUGAAGGCCUUAGGGUUGUAAAGUUCUUUAAUCCGGGACGAUAAUGACGUUACCGGCAGAAUAAGCCCCGGCUAACUUCGUG